Molecule: long non-coding RNA, 646 nt
Organism: Homo sapiens (human)
Lineage: Eukaryota; Metazoa; Chordata; Mammalia; Primates; Hominidae
Gene: LUCAT1
Product: lung cancer associated transcript 1
Source: Ensembl
AAUCAACACUCCACUCAGACAAUGCCCAGACCUCCAGAAACCAUGUGUCAAGCUCGGAUUGCCUUAGACAGGUGCAAUUUAAGAACAGCUUUCAUCCUCUUUUCUCUCAUAUUGUCACACUAUGUGUUCUGACUUCUGGCUCCUUUCCUCACAAGAAGCUCACCCAGCUGGAACUCUUAUGGGACCUUGGCACCAGAGACCACAAAUUCCUCUUUGAAGUUUUCUAACAGCAACAAUGGUAUUUCUGACUUGGCUUUCUUGUAUUUCUCUCACGUUAACAAAAUUGGUUCAGCAUCUACCAUGGGCUACAUGCUGAGCUACAGACAGAGUUUCGCUCUGUCGCCCAGGCUGGAGUGCAGUGGCGCGCGAUCUCGGUUCACUGCAAGCUCCACCUCCCGGGUUCACGCCAUUCUCCUGCCUCAGCCUCCUGAGUAGCUGGGACUACAGGCGCCCGCCACCACACCCAGGAAUCCAACUUGCUGUUUGCUAUCACAUGUGCUAUACAUGCUGUUGAUGAAACUGCUAAAGGGGCUGAAUGUGACUGACGUCUUUGGAAGGAUGAGACUUAGCGUGCCUGUACAGUUGUGUCCAAAUGCUGUCCUCAUCUCCCAAUGAAAAGGUAUUGUAAAUAAAGAGAAAGAUCAGA